This 81-nucleotide transfer RNA is filed under the name Buchananella hordeovulneris. RNAcentral describes it as "tRNA-Leu". It matches the Rfam family "tRNA". From Rfam's summary of the family: Transfer RNA (tRNA) molecules are approximately 80 nucleotides in length. Their secondary structure includes four short double-helical elements and three loops (D, anti-codon, and T loops). Lineage: Bacteria; Bacillati; Actinomycetota; Actinomycetes; Actinomycetales; Actinomycetaceae. The record is from RNAcentral. RNAcentral also lists the same sequence under 1 other name.
GCGCGAGUGGCGAAAUGGCAGACGCGCUGGAUUUAGGUUCCAGUGUCUUAGGACGUGCGGGUUCAAGUCCCGCCUCGCGCA